RNAcentral lists this ribosomal RNA (315 nucleotides) under uncultured bacterium. RNAcentral's name for it is "bacterial SSU rRNA". It matches the Rfam family "Bacterial small subunit ribosomal RNA", at positions 28 to 334 of the family's 1533-position model. The record is from RNAcentral.
GAUGAACGCUAGCGACAGGCUUAACACAUGCAAGUCGAGGGGCAGCGGGUAGAUGAGCUUGCUCAUUUAUGCCGGCGACCGGCGCACGGGUGAGUAACACGUAUGCAACCUGCCCGUCUCAGGGGGAUAAUCGUCGGAAACGGCGUCUAAUACCCCGUAUGAAGCUGGACGGCAUCGUCUGGUUUUGAAAGAAUAUCGGAGACGGAUGGGCAUGCGGCGCAGUAGCUGGGUGGCGGGGUAACGGCCCACCAAGGCGACGAUGCGUAGGGGUUCUGAGAGGAAGGUCCCCCACACUGGUACUGAGACACGGACCAG